CAUGCUUUAUACAUGCAAGUCGAACGCGAAAGUGUCUUCGGACAUUAGUAGAGUGGCAAACGGGUGAGUAACGCGUGGGAAUAUACCUUAUAGUACGGAAUAGCCUCGGGAAACUGGGAUUAAUACCGUAUACGCCCUGAGGGGGAAAGAUUUAUCGCUAUAAGAUUAGCCCGCGUCAGAUUAGCUAGUUGGUGGGGUAAUGGCCUACCAAGGCAACGAUCUGUAGCUGGUCUGAGAGGAUGAUCAGCCACAUUGGAACUGAGAUACGGCCCAAACUCCUACGGGAGGCAGCAGUAGGGAAUAUUGGACAAUGGACGAAAGUCUGAUCCAGCAAUGCCGCGUGAGUGAUGAAGGCCUUAGGGUUGUAAAGCUCUUUUAGUGGGGAAGAUAAUGACGGUACCCACAGAAAAAGCACCGGCUAACUUCGUGCCAGCAGCCGCCGUAA
RNAcentral lists this ribosomal RNA (445 nucleotides) under uncultured bacterium. Its description in RNAcentral is "partial 16S ribosomal RNA". It matches the Rfam family "Bacterial small subunit ribosomal RNA", at positions 43 to 523 of the family's 1533-position model. The record is from RNAcentral.